This 3056-nucleotide long non-coding RNA is filed under the name Sus scrofa (pig). Its description in RNAcentral is "lncRNA (ENSSSCG00000058984.1)". Lineage: Eukaryota; Metazoa; Chordata; Mammalia; Artiodactyla; Suidae. The record is from RNAcentral.
AACUGUUGCAUUCUAUAAAUCAUUUCCUCUUUAUAGAUACAAAACUAUCCUUAGAGAGGCAUCAAUAACCAAACAGGGAUUCUAACAUUUCUGCUUCAAGUCCAUACUCCAUGUAUCUCAUAAUAUCCUUUUCUGUUUCACUAGAUUACUUCUUCAAAGUUAGGAUAACAACCUUUCAAAGAGACAAAAUCAGUCAUUUUAUUGAGGAUUACAAAUGGUGAUUUUCUAAUUCUAUAAUUCUUUCUAAAUUUAAUUGCUAUUCUUCUGUUAAAAAGAUCUUACUGAGGGGAGGCGUGAUAGGGAUACGGUAUUAAGAGGUACAAACUUCAACAUGUAAAAUAAAUAAGCUGCAAGUACACAUUGUACAGCACAAGGAAUAUAGCCAAUAUUUUGUGAUAAUUAUAAAUGGGUCAUAAUCUAUACAAAUUUUGAAUCACUAUAUUGUACACCUGAAACUAAUAAUAUUGUAUAUCAACUAUACCUUAAUUAAAAAUUUGAUCAACUAGGAUUAUACAUUUUCUACUACAAAACAGUUUAAGUCCUUCCUUUUAACUAAAAUUUUGAGUGUAAGUAGUUGGUAUAAUAAUUACUUAAAAUUGUGAAAUAGGUUUUUUUUUUUUUUUGCUUUUGCUAUUUUGAGUUUAGUAUAGAUUAAAGGAUUUAUACAUAUGAAAUUAUAAUCAUCUUUUUUUUAUGUGCUACUCAACUAACAUUUUAUCUGUUGGGCCAACUUUAAAAUAGGCUACUUUGUCUUUUUGAUACAACUCCAUUCAUUUCCUUAUUUUCUGAUACAAAGGAUGUUUCAGACUCACAUUAUAACGUUCCUACUCUAGACAUAUAUGUAUACAAUGUGUAUAUUUAUAUAUUAUUUUUCAUAUCUCAUUUUCAAAAUUACUGUGAUGAAAUUUGUACAGUUUUUUUCACUGAAAUAGUGUCAUUCACAAUGAUUUAUUGGUUUUAUUCUCUUUUAAAUAUCUUUACAAGAAAAGGAUACUCACAUUUUAGGAGUUCAGAGUAAAUGAUCCUCAUAUAAUUUAUUAGGUCUAGUAUGUUAAUUUUUUAUUAAGCAUCUUUAACACAAAAGCUAUAAUACAUCACUGAGAAAGCCAGAUUUUAUAUGUUAGUGACUAGUUAGCCUUCUUCUAAAACUGUACAAUGUGGUUUGCAUUAAUUCCUUCACUACCCUUUUCCUACUCAAUUUGAAGUGUGAAUCAUUAGGAGAAAAGAUUUUCCUACAUCUUUGUAAAUUCCCCAUAGUUCAGUCUUUGGUGAGGCUAAUAAUAAGUAUACUCAGUGUGAAUUUUGAUAGGAAAGGCAGUUGGUAACCUUUGCCCUUUUUGAAUGUCAGACAGGCUUCAAAUAAAAAUCCCACUGGGUUCUUGUUUACAGCAAUCUUAUCCUCUGUUUUUUCUUACAACACCAAAGUAAAACAUAGAAUUUUAAAUGAAUAAACCCAUAGAUAUACAAGAAAAUUGUGAAAUCAUAUUUUUUCUUAUAAAAGAAGAAAAAUAUCAAUGAGAAAAUAAACUCUGUCCAUUUUUCCAGACAGCUCUUCCUAUUUCCUGUUACUUUGGAUAGAGUUGAAAAGUUAUUUCAAGGUCUCAUGUCCCUUCUCUGUAAAGUGGGCAUAUUAACCAUAUCUAAUUUGUGAGUGUUUUAAGGAUUUAGUGGGGUGAUUUAAGCCAAGAUUUUGGCACAACGACUAAAACAAUCAUUGUGACAAACACAUGCAUGCUGACUACAGAUACAUUGAGAAGUUAGGAGCAAAAAAAGAUGAUAGAGAUGGGAUGGGUAGCCUUUUCAUUUGAAGAGGCUUAAAUGAUCCAUAAUUUUCAACAAUCAACUAACAAAUGAUGGAAACCAUGGACUGGAGAGUGUGAGGGAAAUGUUCAUUGAGGACAGAUUCCAAAUGAGCCCCAUGUCUGUGCUAAAACCAGGCUGAAAAUUUAAAUUGCAGAGCAUUUAGUGACAUAGAAAAGUGGGAGUUUUUAACUUAAUGUAUUAGUGAGCUAAUGUUUGCCUUUUAUUUAUGUCUACUAUUUUAAAUUCUCCAUUCAAUUCUAUUCCAGUUUUAGUGCAUGAUGGAAUAAAAACACCUUACCUCAUGAAAGAAAGCUGUGAAAUGCACAGAAAAGAUAAAAUAACCUGAGUGCUCUUAUCCUAAGACAAAUAUAAGAACCAAUAGAGGAAUUAUGUUCAAUGAAAUCUAAUUACCACUUGUAAUUAAUUUCUCACUUAGACUAUAUAUUUCCUGCAUUAUAUUAAAUGGUGAUGAGAAAUAAGAUCUCAAUUAUAAAGUAACUUAGAAAAAGAAACUAAAGUUCUGUUUCUGUAUCUCAUUCUCACCAAACUGAUAGCUUUCUACCUUUAUUGUUAUUAUUAUUAUUUCCCAAUACAUUAUUUUUUUUCUACUGUACAGCAUGGAGAUCCAGUUACACAUAUAUGUAUACAUUAUUUUUUCUCACAUUAUCAUGCUCCAUCAUAAGUGACUAGAUAUAGUUCCCAGUGCUACACAGCAGGAUCUCAUUUCUAUCCAUUCCAAAGGCAAUAGUCUUCAUCUAUUAACCUCAAGCUCACAAUCCAUCCCACUCCCUCCCCUUCCCCUUGGCAACCACAAGUCUAUUCCCAAGUUCAUGAUUUUCUUUUCUGUGGAAAGGUUUAUAUGAUAUCACUUAUAUCUGGAAUCUAAUAUAUGGCACAAAUGAAACUUUUCACAGCUUUCUAACUUUUGCUUACAUUUUCGUAAGAAGAGUUCUGUUUCUAAUGAACAUAUUUGUCAUCAAAUGUAAUUUAUAAAAAUUAAAAAUAAAUUACUUAACAUUUAAGAAAUAGCUGUAUACUUUCUGUAUAUUACUUUGGAAAAUAUAUGUUAAAUACAUGCAUUCUAAUGUAUUUAAAACUAACUUUUCUCAACAAAUGAAGCCCAAAGUUAGUAGAAAGAAGGAAAUAGCAAAUAAAAAAAAUUGAAGAGAAUAAAAUAGGGACUAAAAGGCAAUACAUGAUCUGUGAAACUAAGAUUCAGUUCUCUAAAAAGAAAUUCAUCAGCUUUUGGCAAG